UUGUUUCUCUAACACACAAGGCUCCCCCUUGAUCAACGCUCCCCCUAAAUUCAUGAUUUUUAGAGAGUCUUUUCUAGCUGCAUUUUGUUAGAGAAAAACAAACACACAAACACAUAUUUCUUCUCCCCCUUUGUCAUUAGCAAAAAGGAAGAAACUUAAAAAAGAAAAGCAGACAAGCAUACACACAUUAUGUGAUCAUUAGAUAAGCAUUCAAGCACAUGCACUAACCAUAAACACAUAUACCAAAAAUAUUAAAAAUUCUGGAUUUUUAAAGCUAAUGCAGAAGUGCUGUUUUGGAGGCGUUAACCUGUUAACCGAUUCCGUUAACCUGUUAACGGGCUAAAAUUUUCAAAAAAUAAUUAAAAAAAAAAAAACAGCAGCUCUGUUUGAAACAAUGGGAAAAGAUUUUUACAAAAAGUUUUCACAGAGUUUUAGCACUUAUCAAUACGCAACUUUCGAUCAAAAAAUAUUUUAAAACGGAUAAUUUUUGGAUAUGCGAAAGUAAGAAAAACUAAAAACGGCGAAACAGAAGUGCUAGCAUUGCAUAACAUAAAAAUUGAAAAUCA
RNAcentral lists this long non-coding RNA (566 nucleotides) under Lathyrus oleraceus (garden pea). RNAcentral's name for it is "Pisum sativum (pea) long non-coding RNA (PSAT_LNC002670)". Lineage: Eukaryota; Viridiplantae; Streptophyta; Magnoliopsida; Fabales; Fabaceae. The record is from RNAcentral.